AGUCCCUCCCCUGCCUUGGUCUGGCUCAGAGCAGGUUUAGCACCGAGAGGAGGGUUUGCCAGCAAAGGGCUUGGCUCGGGUUCAGCUUCCCCCCUUCUUCUGUCCUCUGCCUAAUGUUGGCUCGGGAAAGAAAAAAUCUCCUGGGGCUGCUCUAGGAAAGUCAGCUGAGUCUUCUCAAGAGACGGAGCGGCCGGAGCUGUGAGGAGCUCCUACCAAAUUUCAUGGGCACUGCUGCAUUCCUGCUGCCAUCCCCAGUCAAGGGGGAGCUCCAAAAUCAAGGACAGGAAUUUAUGCUCAAAGUCCUUCUGUAAACCAAGGGCCAGGAUGAAACAGCCUGAGGACCUGUUGAUCCUCCUGUUCAUUCACUACAACUUAAACUGCCUCCAAAGAGGGUGAUCCUGAGUUUCAUCCCUGACCUAAGAGAUGCAGCUGGACCUGUUGCAUCUUUGAU
Chiroxiphia lanceolata (lance-tailed manakin) is the source of this 451-nucleotide long non-coding RNA. RefSeq lists it as uncharacterized. The transcript has 3 exons. Lineage: Eukaryota; Metazoa; Chordata; Aves; Passeriformes; Pipridae. The record is from RefSeq and is a predicted model, not a curated record.